Pelobates cultripes (western spadefoot toad) is the source of this 224-nucleotide non-coding RNA. NCBI's taxonomy places the organism in Eukaryota, Metazoa, Chordata, Amphibia, Anura, Pelobatidae. The record is from the annotation of a GenBank genome assembly.
UUUUAUCAGGACUCACUCAAGAUCCAUGUUACUUGAUAUUUCCACUGAGCCCAGUUCAUAUCUUUUUUGAUUAAUUUCAAAUCAGUACCCUCCAUAUAUACCCUUUUCUGUAACCUUUGGUGGUGGUUACUAAUUGUACUAGUGGCACAGUGGUUUUUAUCGGCUACUCUUAUCCCAAGAUUUUACUAUAUGAGGAUUUCUUCCUAAAUAUAGUUAUCUAUCUA